UUCCCAUGACUAAGGGAUAACCUGCCGAAAGGCAGACUAAUACCUUAUGGUCUUCACUGACGGCAUCAGAUGUGAAGUAAAGAUUUAUCGGUUAUGGAUGGGGAUGCGUCUGAUUAGCUUGUUGGCGGGGUAACGGCCCACCAAGGCGACGAUCAGUAGGGGUUCUGAGAGGAAGGUCCCCCACAUUGGAACUGAGACACGGUCCAAACUCCUACGGGAGGCAGCAGUGAGGAAUAUUGGUCAAUGGGCGAGAGCCUGAACCAGCCAAGUAGCGUGCAGGAUGACGGCCCUAUGGGUUGUAAACUGCUUUUGUAUGGGGAUAAAGUCAAUCACGUGUGAUUGUUGGCAGUACCAUACGAAUAAGGA
Molecule: ribosomal RNA, 366 nt
Filed under: Prevotella sp. oral taxon 298
Lineage: Bacteria; Pseudomonadati; Bacteroidota; Bacteroidia; Bacteroidales; Prevotellaceae
Description: bacterial SSU rRNA
Rfam family: Bacterial small subunit ribosomal RNA
Source: RNAcentral